RNAcentral lists this ribosomal RNA (484 nucleotides) under uncultured bacterium. Its description in RNAcentral is "partial 16S ribosomal RNA". It matches the Rfam family "Bacterial small subunit ribosomal RNA", at positions 30 to 507 of the family's 1533-position model. The record is from RNAcentral.
AUUGAACGCUGGCGGCAUGCCUAACACGUGCAAGUCGAGCGGAUGAAGGGAGCUUGCUCCUGGAUUCAGCGGCGGACGGGUGAGUAAUGCCUAGGAAUCUGCCUGGUAGCGGGGGAUAACGUCCGGAAACGGGCGCUAAUACCGCAUACGUCCUGAGGGAGAAAGUGGGGGAUCUUCGGACCUCACGCUAUCAGAUGAGCCUAGGUCGGAUUAGCUAGUUGGUGGGGUAAAGGCCUACCAAGGCGACGAUCCGUAACUGGUCUGAGAGGAUGAUCAGUCACACUGGAGCUGAGACACGGUCCAGACUCCUACGGGAGGCCGCAGUGGGGAAUAUUGGACGAUGGGCGAAAGCCUGAUCAAGGCAUGCCGCGUGUGUGAAGAAGGUCUUCGGAUUGUAUAGCACUUUAAGUUGGGAGGAAGGGCAGUAAGUUAAUACCUUGCUGUUUUGACGUUACCAACAGAAUAAGCACCGGCUAACUUCGUG